CCUACGGGUGGCAGCAGUGAGGAAUAUUGGUCAAUGGACGAGAGUCUGAACCAGCCAAGUAGCGUGAAGGAUGACUGCCCUAUGGGUUGUAAACUUCUUUUAUAAAGGAAUAAAACGAGGCACGUGUGCCUUUUUGCAUGUACUUUAUGAAUAAGGAUCGGCUAACUCCGUGCCAGCAGCCGCGGUAAUACGGAGGUUCCGAGCGUUAUCCGGAUUUAUUGGGUUUAAAGGGAGCGUAGAUGGGUUGUUAAGUCAGUUGUGAAAGUUUGCGGCUCAACCGUAAAAUUGCAAUUGAUACUGGCAGUCUAGAGUACAGUUGAGGUAGGCGGAAUUCGUGGUGUAGCGGUGAAAUGCGUAGAUAUCACGAAGAACCCCGAUUGCGAAGGCAGCUUACUAAACUGUGACUGACAUUGAUGCUCGAAAGUGUGGGUAUCAAACAGGAUUAGAUACCCCAGUAGUC
RNAcentral lists this ribosomal RNA (460 nucleotides) under uncultured bacterium. RNAcentral's name for it is "partial 16S ribosomal RNA". It matches the Rfam family "Bacterial small subunit ribosomal RNA", at positions 338 to 795 of the family's 1533-position model. The record is from RNAcentral.